RNAcentral lists this ribosomal RNA (445 nucleotides) under uncultured bacterium. RNAcentral describes it as "partial 16S ribosomal RNA". It matches the Rfam family "Bacterial small subunit ribosomal RNA", at positions 354 to 796 of the family's 1533-position model. The record is from RNAcentral.
GUGAGGAAUAUUGGUCAAUGGACGAGAGUCUGAACCAGCCAAGUCGCGUGAAGGAAGACGGUUCUAUGAAUUGUAAACUUCUUUUGUGCAGGAAUAAAGUGGGUUACGUGUAACCUUUUGUAUGUACUGUACGAAUAAGGAUCGGCUAACUCCGUGCCAGCAGCCGCGGUAAUACGGAGGAUCCGAGCGUUAUCCGGAUUUAUUGGGUUUAAAGGGUGCGUAGGUGGAUUGAUAAGUCAGCGGUGAAAGUUUGCAGCUUAACUGUAAAAUUGCCGUUGAAACUGUCGGUCUGGAGUGCAAAUGAGGUAGGCGGAAUGUGUUGUGUAGCGGUGAAAUGCUUAGAUAUAACACAGAACUCCGAUUGCGAAGGCAGCUUACUGGGAUGCAACUGACACUGAUGCACGAAAGCGUGGGUAUCAAACAGGAUUAGAAACCCUAGUAGUCC